RNAcentral lists this ribosomal RNA (207 nucleotides) under uncultured bacterium. RNAcentral's name for it is "partial 16S ribosomal RNA". It matches the Rfam family "Bacterial small subunit ribosomal RNA", at positions 568 to 774 of the family's 1533-position model. The record is from RNAcentral.
CACGUAGGCUGUUAUGUAAGUCAGGGGUGAAAGCCCACGGCUCAACCGUGGAACUGCCCUUGAUACUGCACGACUCGAAUCCGGGAGAGGGUGGCGGAAUUCCAGGUGUAGGAGUGAAAUCCGUAGAUAUCUGGAGGAACAUCAGUGGCGAAGGCGGCCACCUGGACCGGUAUUGACGCUGAGGUGCGAAAGCGUGGGGAGCAAACA